RNAcentral lists this long non-coding RNA (309 nucleotides) under Homo sapiens (human). RNAcentral describes it as "HSALNT0374897". The record is from RNAcentral. Lineage: Eukaryota; Metazoa; Chordata; Mammalia; Primates; Hominidae.
CCUCCUUCAGUUCUAGUCCCCCUGAAGCAUCUCUCCUGAGAGCCAGUCCUGGACCUCGACCCUUGGCUGCCCAGCCAGCACUCAUGAGUAUAAUUCCUGCUGAUAAUCUACAACAUUGACUUGUACAUGGGAAGGCAAACAUUUGUUAGAAAUUCUUUCUGCUACCUUUGAUCGGAAUGAAAGAAAAAAAAUCAAGAGAUAUUAAAAUCAACUACAAAGGCAAAGGAACCUGUCUUUUCAGUUGAAGAAAAGAACUGCUGCCUCAUUAUGGUCUUUUUCAAUUAAAAUGAACUCAUGUUGAUAGACAAA